Long non-coding RNA from Bombus terrestris (buff-tailed bumblebee), 541 nucleotides. RefSeq lists it as uncharacterized. The transcript has 2 exons. NCBI's taxonomy places the organism in Eukaryota, Metazoa, Arthropoda, Insecta, Hymenoptera, Apidae. The record is from RefSeq and is a predicted model, not a curated record.
GAUACGUAGCAACAACAUUCGACUAUAAUCGAAAUCGUAGCAUAAAGAUUAAAGUGUCCAAAAGAAUGACGGGGGAAUAGCAUAGUAAGUUGGCGGAUAUCCAAUUCCACGACAAAUCUGAAACUAGUCACCAACUGCUUAACACUUAAUAAUAGAAUGUUGAAAAACGAAACUGAGAAAAGGCGUAAAAACAAACCAUUUAAAAUAAGGGUAGUAAAUUUGCACUUACACCAAUGAUGAUAGCACCAAUGAUGAGAAAGUACCGUAUACAAACAAGCGUCUGUGCCAUCACAAAUUUAUUAAUAGAAAUCACUUAAACAACAUGAACGGAAGGUGUAGUUAAUACAAGCUAAGGAAAAGAAGAAAGUGUCACUAUCAAGUAUCGAAGAACUGUCACCACGGUGACCAGGCGCAAACCUCAAUCUGAACCGACAUUCCUUAUAGUACUGAGCUACAAACGUAACCAAUUAUGCUACUAGCCUUAUCAAUACAAUUCGAAUGUUAUUACUUCAUAUAAAUAAUGUACGUUUCAUGUUGCAAU